UUUUAGCCCGGAUGGGAAUGAAAAUCCCGGAGCUUCAAAAUGUAGUUUUUCAAGGUGCAAAAAGCGACUAAAAGAAGCUUUCUUGCACCUUAGAAAAACAAGUUUUGUAGUGAGGAAUUGUAAUGUACAGCCGGAUUAGCU
Molecule: non-coding RNA, 141 nt
Organism: Flavobacterium sp. AED
Lineage: Bacteria; Pseudomonadati; Bacteroidota; Flavobacteriia; Flavobacteriales; Flavobacteriaceae
Source: Rfam